Molecule: ribosomal RNA, 471 nt
Filed under: uncultured bacterium
Lineage: Bacteria
Description: bacterial SSU rRNA
Rfam family: Bacterial small subunit ribosomal RNA
Source: RNAcentral
GCCUAACACAUGCAAGUCGAGCGGACAUACGGAAUAGAAGAGAAUACGUUCAAAUCGCUGGUAUGUUAGCGGCGGGAUGGGUGAGGAACGCGUGGAGAACCUGCCCUCACAGGGGAUAACAGUGGAACGACUGUUAAUACCGCAUAUGCUCACAGUACCGCAUGGUACAGGGAGGAAAGCCGAGACGGUGAAGGAUGGCUCCGCGUCGGAUUAGCCAGUUGGCGGGGUAACGGCCCACCAAAGCGAUGAUCCGUAGCCGGCCUGAGAGGGCGACCGGCCACAUUGGGACUGAGACACGGCCCAAACUCCUACGGGAGGCAGCAGUGGGGGAUAUUGCACAAUGGGGGAAACCCUGAUGCAGCCGACGCCGCGUGAAGGAGGAAGUGCUUCGGCAUGUAAACUUCUAUCAGCAGGGAAGAAGAUGACGGUACCUGCACAAGAAGCCCCGGCUAACUACGUGCCAGCCGCUGC